AAGCCAAGAAUCAGUGGACGUGGUGUCCUGGUACUUUUGCUCUGGAACUUCUGAUGCUCACCCAGUGGCUCCUCAUCUCUUCAGAUGUCACACACACUGUGGCAGUUGUGUCCUGGUUUCAGCUAGCAUAAAGUUAAUUUUCUUCGGUGGCUGCUCUGUGCUGGUAGUGCUGUAGAGAUCCACUGGUGUCAGAUCUCUGAAUGGGACCCUGCCACCAAACAUGUCCUAAUUCACCAGAGCAUCUAGUGUUGCCAGAAAAGAGGUGCACAGGUGAAAUUCUGGAUGAAGUGAAGCCUUCUCAUGAUGAGUCAUCACGUUACACAAAGUAAAAGUAUUGCAUUUGUCACAGAACUUCAGCAAGUACAAAGGGUCUGGAUCCACAGUCAGAAGUCUACGGGUGUCCCAUCCCGGCACAGGGCCAGGGACUCCACCAUAGACUGCGGUGGGACUAAUGGAGCUUUUGUUCUGUGCUCACUCCUGGGCAAGUCACAGGUCUCAGCAAAGAGACUUCUUUCUUUCUCAGCUGUGAAUAAGAAAACUGGAAUCUGAAUGGCAGAAAAUGGUGGAAGAAAAAGAUUAUAAUUUACUAGAGACUAAUUGCUCAAAGCUAACUGAGGCCCAGUUCUCACAGCAUCUCAGGAGGGAAUUUCUAUUCCUGGAGGUACAAAGCACUCAAUCUUCCCUUCCUUCUCCUAUCAGCAGAGACAAGAGAACUUCAUAUUCGUUGUCUUUGGUGUGACACCACUAUUUAAUCCCUGUACCAUUAGCCAAGAACGGACAUGCAUACCUGUAUAUGUAAUGUUCAAAAUAAAAUGAAGUUUGUUUAUUUGUUCA
RNAcentral lists this long non-coding RNA (834 nucleotides) under Anser cygnoides (Swan goose). RNAcentral's name for it is "lncRNA (ENSACDG00005001611.1)". The record is from RNAcentral. Lineage: Eukaryota; Metazoa; Chordata; Aves; Anseriformes; Anatidae.